UCAGAGGUUCAACUCCUCUCCCUAACA
This 27-nucleotide transfer RNA is filed under the name Equus sp. Its description in RNAcentral is "partial tRNA-Leu". The record is from RNAcentral. Lineage: Eukaryota; Metazoa; Chordata; Mammalia; Perissodactyla; Equidae.